This 1409-nucleotide ribosomal RNA is filed under the name uncultured archaeon. Its description in RNAcentral is "bacterial SSU rRNA". It matches the Rfam family "Archaeal small subunit ribosomal RNA". The record is from RNAcentral.
AGGCCACUGCUAUCGGGGUCCGACUAAGCCAUGCGAGUCAAGGGGCUCCCUUCGGGGAGCACCGGCGCACGGCUCAGUAACACGUGGCUAACCUACCCUCGGGUGGGGGAUAACCUCGGGAAACUGAGGCUAAUCCCCCAUAGGGGAGGAGGUCUGGAAUGAUCCCUCCCCGAAAGCUCCGGCGCCCGAGGAUGGGGCUGCGGCGGAUUAGGUAGUUGGUGGGGUAACGGCCCACCAAGCCUACGAUCCGUACGGGCCCUGAGAGGGGGAGCCCGGAGAUGGACACUGAGACACGGGUCCAGGCCCUACGGGGCGCAGCAGGCGCGAAACCUCCGCAAUGCACGAAAGUGCGACGGGGGGACCCCGAGUGCCAUCCCCUUGGGAUGGCUUUUCCGGAGUGUAAACAGCUCCGGGAAUAAGGGCUGGGCAAGUCCGGUGCCAGCAGCCGCGGUAAUACCCGGCGGCCCAAGUGGUGGCCACUAUUAUUGGGCCUAAAGCGUCCGUAGCCGGCCCGGUAAGUCUCUGCUUAAAUCCUGCGGCUCAACCGCAGGGCUGGCAGAGAUACUGCCGGGCUUGGGACCGGGAGAGGCCGGGGGUACCCCAGGGGUAGCGGUGAAAUGCGUUGAUCCCUGGGGGACCACCUGUGGCGAAGGCGCCCGGCUGGAACGGGUCCGACGGUGAGGGACGAAGGCCAGGGGAGCAAACCGGAUUAGAUACCCGGGUAGUCCUGGCUGUAAACUCUGCGGACUAGGUGUCGCGUCGGCUUCGGGCCGACGCGGUGCCGAAGGGAAGCCGUUAAGUCCGCCGCCUGGGGAGUACGGUCGCAAGACUGAAACUUAAAGGAGUUGGCGGGGGAGCACUACAACGGGUGGAGCCUGCGGUUUAAUUGGAUUCAACGCCGGGCAUCUCACCAGGGGCGACGGCAGGAUGAAGGCCAGGUUGACGACCUUGCCAGACGCGCCGAGAGGUGGUGCAUGGCCGUCGUCAGCUCGUACCGUGAGGCGUCCUGUUAAGUCAGGUAACGAGCGAGACCCGUGCCCCAUGUUGCUACUCUCCCCUCCGGGGGAGAGGCACUCAUGGGGGACCGCCGGCGCAAAGCCGGAGGAAGGUGCGGGCAACGACAGGUCCGCAUGCCCCGAAUCCCCUGGGCUACACGCGGGCUACAAUGGCCGGGACAAUGGGACGCGACCCCGAAAGGGGGAGCGGAUCCCCUAAACCCGGUCGUAGUCCGGAUCGAGGGCUGUAACUCGCCCUCGUGAAGCCGGAAUCCGUAGUAAUCGCGCCUCACCAUGGCGCGGUGAAUGCGUCCCUGCUCCUUGCACACACCGCCCGUCACGCCACCCGAGUUGAGCCCAAGUGAGGCCCUGUCCGCAAGGGCAGGGUCGAACUUGGGUUCAGCGAGGGGGGCG